Molecule: ribosomal RNA, 322 nt
Filed under: uncultured eukaryote
Lineage: Eukaryota
Description: partial 18S ribosomal RNA
Rfam family: Eukaryotic small subunit ribosomal RNA
Source: RNAcentral
CCCUUAGAUGUUCUGGGCCGCACGCGUGCUACACUGAGUGGAUCAGCGGGUCAGGUUGCGCGAAAGUGUUUCCUAAUCUUUAAAUCCGCUCGUGAUGGGGAUUGACGGUUGCAAUUUUCCGUCAUGAACGAGGAAUACCUUGUAAGCGCGGGUCAUCAUCCCGCGCUGAAUACGUCCCUGCCCUUUGUACACACCGCCCGUCGCUCCUACCGAUUGAGUGGUCCGGUGAGGCUUUGGGAUCUUGGCGGAAAGAGCGUUUCGCUGUUUCUGCCCGGAAAACUCAGUCGAACCUUAUCAUUUAGAGGAAGGAGAAGUCGUAACA